GACGAACGCUGGCGGCGUGCCUAAUACAUGCAAGUAGAACGCUGAAGAGAGGAGCUUGCUCUUCUUGGAUGAGUUGCGCACGGGUGAGUAACGCGUAGGUAACCUGCCUUGUAGCGGGGGAUAACUAUUGGAAACGAUAGCUAAUACCGCAUAACAAUGGAUGACACAUGUCAUUUAUUUGAAAGGGGCAAUUGCUCCACUACAAGAUGGACCUGCGUUGUAUUAGCUAGUAGGUGAGGUAAUGGCUCACCUAGGCGACGAUACAUAGCCGACCUGAGAGGGUGAUCGGCCAAACUGGGACUGAGACACGGCCCAGACGCCUACGGGAGGCAGCAGUAGGGAAUCUUCGGAAAUGGGGGCAACCCUGACCGAGCAACGCCGCGGGAGUGAAGAAGGUUGUCGGAUCGGAAAGCUCUGUUGUAAGUCAAGAACGGGUGUGAGAGUGGAAAGUUCACAAUGUGACGGUAGCUUAACAGAAAGGGACGGCUAACUACGUG
This 497-nucleotide ribosomal RNA is filed under the name uncultured bacterium. RNAcentral describes it as "partial 16S ribosomal RNA". It matches the Rfam family "Bacterial small subunit ribosomal RNA", at positions 28 to 507 of the family's 1533-position model. The record is from RNAcentral.